AACGAACGCUGGCGGCAUGCCUAACACAUGCAAGUCGAACGAAGCCUUCGGGCUUAGUGGCGCACGGGUGCGUAACGCGUGGGAAUCUGCCCUUUGGUUCGGAAUAACAGUUGGAAACGACUGCUAAUACCGGAUGAUGACGAAAGUCCAAAGAUUUAUAGCCAGAGGAUGAGCCCGCGUAGGAUUAGCUAGUUGGUGUGGUAAAGGCGCACCAAGGCGACGAUCCUUAGCUGGUCUGAGAGGAUGAUCAGCCACACUGGGACUGGGACACGGCCCAGACUCCUACGGGAGGCAGCAGUGGGGAAUAUUGGACAAUGGGCGAAAGCCUGAUCCAGCAAUGCCGCGUGAGUGAUGAAGGCCCUAGGGUUGUAAAGCUCCUUUACCCGGGAUGAUAAUGACAGUACCGGGAGAAUAAGCCCCGGCUAACUCCGUGCCAGCAGCCGCGGUAA
Molecule: ribosomal RNA, 449 nt
Filed under: uncultured bacterium
Lineage: Bacteria
Description: partial 16S ribosomal RNA
Rfam family: Bacterial small subunit ribosomal RNA
Source: RNAcentral